Molecule: ribosomal RNA, 264 nt
Filed under: uncultured bacterium
Lineage: Bacteria
Description: partial 16S ribosomal RNA
Rfam family: Bacterial small subunit ribosomal RNA
Source: RNAcentral
GACGAACCACACAAACGUUUAUUCGGAAUUACUGGGCUUAAAGGGUGCGUAGGCUGCGCAGAAAGUUGGGUGUGAAAUCCCUCGGCUCAACCGAGGAACUGCCCUCCAAACUGCUUGGCUUGAGUCCGGGAGAGGUGAGUGGAAUUCCCAGUGUAGCGGUGAAAUGACGUAGAUAUUGGGAGGAACACCAGUGGCGAAGGCGGCUCACUGGACCGGAACUGACGCUGAGGCGCGAAAGCGUGGGGAGCAAAGCGGGGAUAAGAA